CACGUAGGGGGCAAGCGUUGUCCGGAUUUAUUGGGCGUAAAGAGCUCGUAGGCGGCUCACUAAGUCGGGUGUGAAAUUUCGAGGCUCAACCUCGAAACGCCACCCGAUACUGGUGUGGCUAGAGUCCGGUAGGGGAGCGUGGAAUUCCUGGUGUAGCGGUGAAAUGCGCAGAUAUCAGGAGGAACACCGAUGGCGAAGGCAGGUCUCUGGGCAUUAACUGACGCUGAGGAGCGAAAGCAUGGGGAGCGAACAGG
This 254-nucleotide ribosomal RNA is filed under the name uncultured bacterium. RNAcentral's name for it is "partial 16S ribosomal RNA". It matches the Rfam family "Bacterial small subunit ribosomal RNA", at positions 524 to 776 of the family's 1533-position model. The record is from RNAcentral.